AUGCGUAUUGUCGACAUUACCUUUGGUUCACGCUACAAACACCAUGAUUCCAUGCCCCUCCUAGUAAGUCACAGGCACUCAAAAGCCUCACACUACAUACCAAGUGGUGUGUGUCUCGCAUGUGAUCUCCAACCCACUGACUCACUAGACACACAGAGAGAGAGAGAGAGAGAGAGAGAGAGAGAGAGAGAGAGAUGCUUUGGAUUUCCCUUUGUCUUCUUUGUCCUUUAAGACACUUACAAAUUUACCUGUGGUUCCAUGAAUUUUCCAUAAAGCUAGAUCAACAACAAGAUCAUGCCACCGUUUAG
This 308-nucleotide long non-coding RNA is filed under the name Prunus dulcis (almond). RNAcentral describes it as "sRNA ncRNA". Lineage: Eukaryota; Viridiplantae; Streptophyta; Magnoliopsida; Rosales; Rosaceae. The record is from RNAcentral.